GCCAUCGGCGGUAGUGAGUUGAAUACAUCAUCCAUGAAGUUAAGCAACCUUACGCGUUGUUGCUAUCUGGAUGGGUGACCAUUUGGACAAUCGCGUUCUGCUGGCU
RNAcentral lists this ribosomal RNA (106 nucleotides) under Diaphorina citri (Asian citrus psyllid). Lineage: Eukaryota; Metazoa; Arthropoda; Insecta; Hemiptera; Psyllidae. The record is from RNAcentral.